This 160-nucleotide small RNA is filed under the name uncultured Bacteroides sp. RNAcentral's name for it is "Bacteroides sRNA BTnc231". It matches the Rfam family "Bacteroides sRNA BTnc231". From Rfam's summary of the family: An uncharacterized small RNA discovered in Bacteroides thetaiotaomicron Lineage: Bacteria; Pseudomonadati; Bacteroidota; Bacteroidia; Bacteroidales; Bacteroidaceae. The record is from RNAcentral.
ACGUUUUUUUCAUAGAGAUUUAGAUUUAAGGUUAGAAGAAUUGUGGAAGUCGUGAGACUUCCCUUUUUUUCGCCUUGAAAGUUGCUCUCUUAUUAAUCUGAUAACAAAUUAUAGAUUGCUAAGAGAACAAAAAAGCUCUUUCGCGAGAAAGAGCUUUUUU